GCCGGAGUGAAGAUGUUAAGUUCACUGCCUGGGGAGUACGGUCGCAAGGCUGAAACUUAAAGGAAUUGGCGGGGGAGCACUGCAACGCGAGGAGCGUGCGGUUUAAUUGGAUUCAACGCCGGAAAACUCACCAUGGCCGACUGUUAGAUGAAGAUCAGCGUAAUGAGCUUAUCGGAUUUUCAGAGAGGUGGUGCAUGGCCGUCGUCAGUUCGUACUGUAAAGCGUUCUGUUAAGUCAGAUAACGAACGAGACCCUCAUCCCUAUUUGCUAAGAUCUCUCCGGAGGUCACAGGACUAUAGGGAGACCGCUGGCGCGAAGUCAGAGGAAGUCGAGGGCAACGGUAGGUCAGUAUGCUCCGAAUGCUAUGGGCUACACGCGCAAUACAAAGGACAGGACAAUGGGCUGCUGCUCCGAAAGGAAUGAUAGCUAUCCCGAAACCUGUUCGUAGUGCGGAUUGAGGGCUGUAACUCGCCCUCAUGAAGCUGGAUUAGGUAGUAAUCGCGUCUCAAUAAGGCGCGGUGAAUAUGCCCCUGCUCCUUGCACACACCGCCCGUCAAACCAUCUUAGUUGGGGGUGGGUGAGGCUGCCUUUUAGUGGGGUAUUCGAGCCUGCCUUCGACAAGGAGGGUUAAGUCGUAACAAGGUAUCUGUAGGGGAACCUGCAGAUG
This 667-nucleotide ribosomal RNA is filed under the name marine metagenome. Its description in RNAcentral is "bacterial SSU rRNA". It matches the Rfam family "Archaeal small subunit ribosomal RNA", at positions 800 to 1467 of the family's 1478-position model. The record is from RNAcentral.